CCGCUGUACUUAAGCAUAUCAAUAAGCGGAGGAAAAGAAACCAACAGGGAUUGCCUCAGUAACGGCGAGUGAAGCGGCAAGAGCUCAAAUUUGAAAUCUGGCGCCUCCGGCGUCCGAGUUGUAAUUUGGAGAGGAUGCUUCGGGUGCGGCCGCGGCCUAAGUCCCCUGGAACGGGGCGUCGCAGAGGGUGAGAAUCCCGUCUUUGGUCGCCGGUGCGCGCCCGUGUGAAGCUCCUUCGACGAGUCGAGUUGUUUGGGAAUGCAGCUCUAAAUGGGUGGUAAAUUUCAUCUAAAGCUAAAUACUGGCGGGAGACCGAUAGCGAACAAGUAGAGUGAUCGAAAGGUUAAAAGCACCUUGAAAAGGGAGUUAAACAGCACGUGAAAUUGUUGAAAGGGAAGCGCUUGCAGCCAGACUCGGGCGCGGGGGUUCAGCGGGCACGCGUGCCCGUGCACUCCCCCGCGGCCGGGCCAGCAUCGGUUCGGGCGGCCGGUCAAAGGCCCCGGGAAUGUGUCGCCCUCCGGGGCGUCUUAUAGCCCGGGGUGCAAUGCGGCCAGCCUGGACCGAGGAACGCGCUUCGGCUCGGA
This 584-nucleotide ribosomal RNA is filed under the name Malbranchea cinnamomea. RNAcentral's name for it is "partial large subunit ribosomal RNA". It matches the Rfam family "Eukaryotic large subunit ribosomal RNA", at positions 25 to 611 of the family's 3401-position model. Lineage: Eukaryota; Fungi; Ascomycota; Eurotiomycetes; Onygenales; Malbrancheaceae. The record is from RNAcentral.